GACGAACGUUGGCGGCGUGCCUAAUACAUGCAAGUCAACUGAAGCAAGGUAGCAAUAUCUUGUGGAGGUGGCGCACGGGUGAGUAACACGUAGGUAAUCUGCCUUCAGGUCUGACAUAACUCCGGGAAACCGGAGCUAAUAGCAGAUGAUGCAGCGGCUUGACAUCAAGACAGUUGUUAAAAGCUUCGGCGCCUGAAGAUGAGCCUGCGUCUGAUUAGCUAGUUGGCGGAGUAAUAGCCCACCAAGGCGACGAUCAGUAACUGGUCUGAGAGGAUGAUCAGUCACACUGGAACUGAGACACGGUCCAGACUCCUACGGGAGGCAGCAGUAAGGAAUAUUGCCUCAAUGGGGGAAACCCUGAAGCAGCAACGCCGCGUUGAGGGAUGAAGGGACCGUUUUGUCUUGUAAACCUA
This 413-nucleotide ribosomal RNA is filed under the name uncultured bacterium. Its description in RNAcentral is "bacterial SSU rRNA". It matches the Rfam family "Bacterial small subunit ribosomal RNA", at positions 28 to 433 of the family's 1533-position model. The record is from RNAcentral.